Odocoileus virginianus texanus is the source of this 924-nucleotide long non-coding RNA. RefSeq lists it as uncharacterized. NCBI's taxonomy places the organism in Eukaryota, Metazoa, Chordata, Mammalia, Artiodactyla, Cervidae. The record is from RefSeq and is a predicted model, not a curated record.
CACACCAGGAAAACAUCUGGGUACUUCAGGAGGAAACAGGAGGACUUUGAGGAGUGACCCCAGUGCCCCGAGGGUGGGGUCCACCCUUGCCCAUUUCCAGGAGGCAGUCCUAAACAAAACAUGAACUCAUCUACUUCCUUAUUCACCCGUCACACCACCAACGUGAUUCAUCUCAUUUCUCCAGCAUCCACUGACUAAAAAGCAUUAAGUCCUGCAGAGCAGGUCACUACCAACCAAGAUGAUAAAUGACUGUGACCAGAAGGGGAUGUCCUCUCAUCACCGGAUGUUUCUACUGUCCAUGGCGGGAGUAAUCAGGGCCAAUGAGACUCCUGAGAGGUGAGACUGUGCUGUUCGGGGUGAGGCUGGGCCCCUCGUGUCUAUUUGGGGACUCGCUAUCUUCACUGCCGAGUAAGCAGGGGGCAUCUCAGGUGUGAUCCCACCUCAGACUUGCCAGUCAUUCCUUUACCAUCUCCGCUGAAGGAUGAGGAAACUGAAAGAGAGGCCAAGUUCAAGGUCACAGAGCCAGCAAGUGACCAGGCGACACUGGACGAAAAACCUGUCUUCUGAUACUGGCUGGCCCCACAACCAGCCCCUGUGGAUGGGAGGAGGGUGCUCCAGGGACACCCGGGCCAGUGACGCAGACCCAUGUCUGAGGUCGAUCAGCCGGGCCUGGGUAGCCAUCCAACAUCCUGUCCCCAGCUGGUGGACGCAGGAAGAUGUACUGUAAACCAGGUGCUGAGAAGGCUCUGUGCCCACUGACCACACUUCCCAAAUCAACAGUCUCCACCAGGGGCUGCCGCUGCAGACAGUGGAGCCAAGUGUUGGAAGCCAGGACUAAGCCAAAUCCUGGGUCCCGCCAUCACUGGGCAUGACUCUCCCUCCCUUCACUCCCCCUCUCCACCAAGGGUGGGCCUGGCCAAAAUA